GAUGAAGAACGUAGCGUAAUGCGAUAAGUAAUGUGAAUUGCAGAAUUCAGUGAAUCAUCGAAUCUUUGAACGCACAUUGCGCCCGCCAGUAUUCUGGCGGGCAUGCCUGUUCGAGCGUCAUUUCAACCAUCAAGCCCCCGGCUUGUGUUGGGGACCUGCGGCUGCCGCAGGCCCUGAAAAGCAGUGGCGGGCUCGCUGUCACACCGAGCGUAGUAGCAUACAUCUCGCUCUGGGCGUGCUGCGGGUUCCGGCCGUUAAACCACCUUCAUAACCCAAGGUUGACCUCGGAUCAGGUAGGAAGACCCGCUGAACUUAAGCAUAUCAAUAAGCGGAGGA
This 336-nucleotide unclassified non-coding RNA is filed under the name soil metagenome. RNAcentral describes it as "partial contains 5.8S ribosomal RNA, internal transcribed spacer 2, and large subunit ribosomal RNA". The stretch from base 1 to 120 matches the Rfam family "5.8S ribosomal RNA", at positions 35 to 154 of the family's 154-position model. The record is from RNAcentral.